This 164-nucleotide small nuclear RNA is filed under the name Castor canadensis (American beaver). RNAcentral's name for it is "U1 spliceosomal RNA (ENSCCNG00000002771.1)". It matches the Rfam family "U1 spliceosomal RNA". From Rfam's summary of the family: U1 is a small nuclear RNA (snRNA) component of the spliceosome (involved in pre-mRNA splicing). The record is from Rfam by way of RNAcentral. Lineage: Eukaryota; Metazoa; Chordata; Mammalia; Rodentia; Castoridae.
AUACUUACCUGGCAGGGGAGAUACCAUGAUCAUGAAGGUGGUUUUCCCAGGGUGAGGCUUAUCCAUUGCAUUCCAGAUGUGUUGACCCCUGCGAUUUCCCCAAAUGUGGGAAACUCAACUGCAUAAUUUGUGGUAGUGGGGGACUGCAUUCACGCUCUCCCCUG